Molecule: long non-coding RNA, 2074 nt
Organism: Cryptotermes secundus
Lineage: Eukaryota; Metazoa; Arthropoda; Insecta; Blattodea; Kalotermitidae
Exons: 5
Source: RefSeq, a predicted model, not a curated record
UGCAGGAACUGCAACAACAAAAUGCUCAAUCAGUAUGCUGGUUUGAAGAUUACUGCCUUCUGUGACAAGAUGUCAUCUUUCCUGUCUUGGAACAGUUCAUGUGGGAUUUGUGGUCAACAAAGUGACACUGAUAUAUCUCUUUCUCUGAGCAUCAGUUUUCCUGUGCCACCUGUCACUCCAAUACACCAUACUUGCAUCUAUCAUCAUGGACUGGCACUCCUUCCAGAAGCAGUACCAAGGGACUAGGCUCAUUCCAUUCUAAGAAUUAAAAUGAUUUAGAGCUGAGUCAGUAUAGCGAUGGGCUUGAGCCGGACAGCCAGGGUUCGAUUCACAGCUGGAGCAAGAGGAGGAAAGAGUGUUUCAAAAGGAAGUCAUAGAGAAAAACACAACACACUUCAGAUGACAUGAGUCACUUGGUAUUAUUAUGUCCGUUGCUGUGUGUUUGCGGUGGAUUGAGCCUUUAAAUUGGGAACUUCAUCUCUGACUUGGCAUGUAGCUGGAUACAGAGGCAAAGAAGAGGGAAUUAAAAAUAUUCUCCAUGAGUACUGAGGCAGCAGCUGAUGGAUCCCCUCCACAAAGAACCCUCUGGGCUGCUGCUAGGACUGCAGCACCACCAAGACCUUGACAUCUUCAUCCAAUCAGAAUCUACUUACAAAUAGGUUUCAUUUGAACAAUCCUCUUACAUUCAUAUAUGUAGUUUACAUCUUACCCUUGAAGCAUUCAGAUCUUUUGGCAGUCAGAAAUGUUAUGGAUAUAACAUUCAUCAAGAUACAGUUUCAAAUUUAAAGUGUAUCAAAGUAUGAUUGAUUCAAAAUAUUUAAGGAUAAAAUAUUUCUGUUACAAGUUUUGCACACUAGGUCUUAGUUUGAUCAAAAAACCAUUAAAAUGAAUUAAAUAAAAAUUUUAAACCCCAUUGUGAAAUUAUGUGAUUCAUGAAAAGUUAUAUGAACUUAUUUUAUCAUCUGCUGAAUUCAGGGCAACAUCUCGGUCUUUGAAGUUUAAUUUUCUUAAAUUAUUUGUAUUUACAGCCCUUCAAGAGCUAAUUUUAAAUUAAUUUUGUCUACCAUGAACAUAUUACUUCAGGAAAGGCAAAAGUUGGGGACCAAUUUGGUUAGAAGUUUUUAACUCCUUAAAGCACAAUGGUUACUGCAUAUAGUGUGUACCAUCAGGGCCAGCAUGGCAGAACAAGUGAACCAAGCUGCCUCCUAUGGUAGCACAUUUACAGCUACUUUCUCCUUGGCUGUCUGCUGAUUUACAAUUAAUUUCUGUUGCUCUUUGUUCAAAUCAUAAUCAUUCAUUAUCACUAUUUUGUACACAAAAGGUAAAUAUAACUACGAACUGUGUGUGCUAGCAUUGCUGUCUAAUUCUAUAAUCUGAAGCCAGCAACAGCACUCUCACUCUUGUGACUGGAUGGUCCUGUACAUUUUACUGUUUCUUUGCUUACUAUUUUAAGAACUGCAGUACCACUGCCAGUUUUAUUUUUCAUAAUAUCUGAGAAUUUUGUGUUAUUGUGUUUUGAGAAUGUUGAACUGUUUUUAACUGGGGGAAGGAGUGGAAUUUCUCAUCUCCUGGGGCAGUACUGAGACUUGAAACAGCCCUGCAUGCCACCUUAUUUAACCUACAAAAACACUGCAUUCUGUCUACAGAAUAUAUUAUUAUAUUUCAUAUUAUUCUUAUGGUAAAGAGCAAUUUUUUCUCCAAAUAGUAUUAAACAUCUUAUAAUAGGCAUGCUUUGUGCAUUUUGAGAUGGAGAAAGUGAAUCUAUAUAAAUAUGAUUUAGAUGAACUUCAGGAUUCAGAAGAUUAAAAGAGACCAGCAGCAAACUUCAGUGUAGAUGUAGUUCCCCUUUUAGACCCAAGUUACUAUGAAGAUGUCAGUAUUUAGCGCAGUGAUGCUUCUCCGUAAAAACAAUGUUGAUCCAGUCUCCUUAUUCCUCUUUUACUCCUACUGUAUUUCCUCUUCAUUCAUCUCUUUUCCUUCUUUAUGUUCUCAUUACCCUCUCUCCUUAAUCCAUAAUCUUCAUCGCCUAUUAUAUUUUCAGUUUCUCUCUUUCCUCUUCACACCAUUCUUCAUU